UGGGGAAUAUUGCACAAUGGGCGCAAGCCUGAUGCAGCCAUGCCGCGUGUAUGAAGAAGGCCUUCGGGUUGUAAAGUACUUUCAGCGGGGAGGAAGGUGUUGUGGUUAAUAACCUCAGCAAUUGACGUUACCCGCAGAAGAAGCACCGGCUAACUCCGUGCCAGCAGCCGCGGUAAUACGGAGGGUGCAAGCGUUAAUCGGAAUUACUGGGCGUAAAGCGCACGCAGGCGGUGUGUCAAGUCGGAUGUGAAAUCCCCGGGCUCAACCUGGGAACUGCAUCCGAAACUGGCAGGCUUGAGUCUUGUAGAGGGGGGUAGAAUUCCAGGUGUAGCGGUGAAAUGCGUAGAGAUCUGGAGGAAUACCGGUGGCGAAGGCGGCCCCCUGGACAAAGACUGACGCUCAGGUGCGAAAGCGUGGGGAGCAAACA
Molecule: ribosomal RNA, 427 nt
Filed under: uncultured bacterium
Lineage: Bacteria
Description: partial 16S ribosomal RNA
Rfam family: Bacterial small subunit ribosomal RNA
Source: RNAcentral